Molecule: ribosomal RNA, 254 nt
Filed under: uncultured bacterium
Lineage: Bacteria
Description: partial 16S ribosomal RNA
Rfam family: Bacterial small subunit ribosomal RNA
Source: RNAcentral
UACGUAGGGUGCGAGCGUUGUCCGGAAUUACUGGGCGUAAAGAGCUCGUAGGUGGUUUUGUCGCGUUGUUCGUGAAAACCGGGGGCUUAACCCUCGGCGUGCGGGCGAUACGGGCAGACUUGAGUACUGCAGGGGAGACUGGAAUUCCUGGUGUAGCGGUGGAAUGCGCAGAUAUCAGGAGGAACACCGGUGGCGAAGGCGGGUCUCUGGGCAGUAACUGACGCUGAGGAGCGAAAGCGUGGGGAGCGAACAGG